RNAcentral lists this long non-coding RNA (423 nucleotides) under Mytilus galloprovincialis (Mediterranean mussel). The record is from RNAcentral. Lineage: Eukaryota; Metazoa; Mollusca; Bivalvia; Mytilida; Mytilidae.
UGCUGGUAAAUAAUAUAUUAAGUAAAAUUCAAAAUAUGCUAAUUACCCUUCCAGAGAAUCUAGUCACCUUUUCGGUAUAUAUAAAUAUUUAUUUUGUAACAGGAUUAUUUUCAGUUUUAUUUUAGAUUAGAUUCUUAACAUAUUUUGUACUGUCCUUUUCUUUUUGUCUUGUAUAUUUAUCCAGUGGUUUUGUGUUUAUGUGUUACAUAUUUGUUUUUCGUUCAAUUUUUGUACAUAAAUAAGCCGUUAGUUUUCUCGUUUUACAUUGUUAUUUCGGGCAUUUUAUAGCUGACUAUGCGGUAUGGGCUUUGUUCAUUGUUGACGACCGUACGGUGACCUAUAGUUUGUACUUUCUGUGUCAUUUUGGUCUAUUGUGGAGAGUUGUCUCUUUGGCAAUCAUACCACACCUUUAUUUUUAUAUCU